GCGAGCGUCGUAUAAUGGUAAUACCCGAGCUUCCCAAGCUCGUGCCGGGGGUUCAAUUCCCCUCGCUCGCUCUA
Molecule: transfer RNA, 74 nt
Filed under: Spirochaetota bacterium
Lineage: Bacteria; Pseudomonadati; Spirochaetota
Description: Spirochaetes bacterium tRNA-Gly
Rfam family: tRNA
About the family: Transfer RNA (tRNA) molecules are approximately 80 nucleotides in length.
Source: RNAcentral